This 91-nucleotide unclassified non-coding RNA is filed under the name Pseudomonas reinekei. Lineage: Bacteria; Pseudomonadati; Pseudomonadota; Gammaproteobacteria; Pseudomonadales; Pseudomonadaceae. The record is from RNAcentral.
GUAGGAGCCGGCUUGCUGGCGAUGGUCGUUACCGAUGACGCGUAUGGUCUGGUUAAACGCCGCAUCCAAUCGCCAGCAAGCCGGCUCCUAC